AUUAUAGUGGAGGUGUUAUACCCGUUCCCAUGCCGAACACGGAAGUCAAGCCCUCUUACGCCAAUGAUACUGCACAUAGUGCGGGAAAGUAGGUCUUCGCCAGGC
This 105-nucleotide ribosomal RNA is filed under the name Treponema sp. Lineage: Bacteria; Pseudomonadati; Spirochaetota; Spirochaetia; Treponematales; Treponemataceae. The record is from RNAcentral.